UUUCACCUCACACAACCAAUGGUUUUUAAAAGCUGUAAUGGCGCCAAGUGGUUAAUGUGGUAUUGAGUGUAUUCCCACUUGGUAAACGAGAGGGUCACUUGAAAUACUUGGUAGCUUUAUGAGUCCGAUAAUGCUUCGCAUAUUUCGAAAAGCUCAAAGUACCGCUAAGUUUAAGCCUUUACUGGUCACUCUUUAGCUGGGAAAUUUUUGAAAUGAAGUGCUUAUUGACUUUAUACCAAACCUGAUAUUGAAUAGCAGUCGUAGUUACUGUAACUAUUCAAAAUCUUUGAAC
Molecule: unclassified non-coding RNA, 292 nt
Filed under: uncultured fungus
Lineage: Eukaryota; Fungi
Description: sequence contains ITS2
Source: RNAcentral